GAAGUUUGAUCCUGGCUCAAGAUGAACGUUGGUAACAUGUUUAACACAUGCAAGUCGGAUGGGAAGUAGUGUUUCCAGUGGCGGAUGGGUGAGUAGAACUUGCUCUUGGGAGGGAAGCAACAGUUGGAAAUGCCUGCUAAUACCCUAUAGGCUGAGGAGCAAAAGGAGGAAUCCAUUCGAGGAGGGGCUUGCGUCUGAUUAGCAAGUUGGUGAAGCAAUAGCUUACCAAAAGCGAUGAUCAGUAGUUAGUCCAAGAGGAUGAUUAGCAACACGGGACUAAGACACAACCCAGACUCCUACGGGAGGCAGCAGUAUGGAAUUUUCGCAAUGGGCAAAAGCUUGACAGAGCAAUGUCAUAUGGAGGUAGAAGGCCUACGUGUCGUGAACUUCUUUUCUCGGAGAAGAAGCAAUGACAAUAUCUAGUAAAUAAGCAUCGACUAAUUCUGUGCCAAUAACCGUAGUAAUAUAGAGGAUGCAAGUGUUAUCCAGAAUGGUUGGGCGUAAAGCAUCUGUAUGUGGCUUUUCAAGUCUGCCAUCAAAUCCCAAGGCUCAACCCUGGACAGACGGUGGAAAUUGCCAAGCUAGAGUACAGUAGGGGUGGAGGGAAUUUCUGAUGGAGCAGUAAAAUGCAUAGAGAUCUAAAAGAACACCAAUGGCUAAAGCACACCAAUGGUCAACAUUGACAUUGAGAGACGGAAGCUAGGGGAGUGAAUGGGAUUAGAUACUGUAGUAGUCGUAGCCGUAAACGAUGGAUAUUGGGCACUGUGCGUAUCGAUUCGUGCAGUACGGUAGCUAACGCAUUAAGUAUCUCGCUUGGGGAGUACGUUCACAAGAAUGAAACUCAAAGGAAUUGACGGGGGCCCACACAAGCAGUGGAGCAUAUGGUUUAAUUUGAUGCAAAGCAAAGAAUCUUACCAGGGCUUGACAUACCGCGAAUCCUCUUGAAAGAGAAGAGUGCCUUUGGGAACACGGGCACAGGUGGUAGAUGGCCGUCGACAACUCAUGCCUUAAGGUGUUGAGUUAAGUCCCGCAACGGAAACCUUAGUUAUCAACUAAGUGUUGCAUUUUUCAACACUUGUUGAGAUUUUAUUGCCGUGUUGUACCGACUAGAAAUUUUAAUUAGUCCAAUGGGUUCAUAAUAUAUAUAUAUAUAUUUAAUAUGCUUGAGUGUUGAAUAAGCAAUCUACUAUUAUACUCUUUCCAUUUAUUAAUUUCAUUAAUUGAUUAUAAUCGAUCCUUAUAAAUAAGCAUACCAAAUAUACUCAUCAUACUGCGUAUAAAUACAAUUGCUAUAGAGUUAAUAGAAAUUUCUCUUUCAAAUUCCUAUACAAUCCGUAUAUGGUAUCAGAACCAUAGUGCCUAACAGCAAACUGACUGGUGUCGAAUCUGUCAAUUUAAAAUUUACU
This 1406-nucleotide ribosomal RNA is filed under the name Manihot esculenta (cassava). Its description in RNAcentral is "bacterial SSU rRNA". It matches the Rfam family "Bacterial small subunit ribosomal RNA", at positions 9 to 1168 of the family's 1533-position model. Lineage: Eukaryota; Viridiplantae; Streptophyta; Magnoliopsida; Malpighiales; Euphorbiaceae. The record is from RNAcentral.